RNAcentral lists this ribosomal RNA (498 nucleotides) under uncultured bacterium. Its description in RNAcentral is "partial 16S ribosomal RNA". It matches the Rfam family "Bacterial small subunit ribosomal RNA", at positions 30 to 523 of the family's 1533-position model. The record is from RNAcentral.
AUUGAACGCUGGCGGCAUGCCUUACACAUGCAAGUCGAACGGUAACAGGUCUUCGGAUGCUGACGAGUGGCGAACGGGUGAGUAAUACAUCGGAACGUGCCUAGUAGUGGGGGAUAACUACUCGAAAGAGUGGCUAAUACCGCAUGAGAUCUACGGAUGAAAGCAGGGGAUCGCAAGACCUUGUGCUACUAGAGCGGCCGAUGGCAGAUUAGGUAGUUGGUGGGAUAAAAGCUUAACAAGCCGACGAUCUGUAGCUGGUCUGAGAGGACGAUCAGCCCCACUGGGACUGGGACACGGCCCAGACUCCUACGGGAGGCAGCAGUGGGGAAUUUUGGACAAUGGGCGCAAGCCUGAUCCAGCAAUGCCGCGUGCAGGAUGAAGGCCUUCGGGUUGUAAACUGCUUUUGUACGGAACGAAAAGCCCCGGGUUAAUACCCUGGGGUCAUGACGGUACCGUAAGAAUAAGCACCGGCUAACUACGUGCCAGCCGCCGCGGUAA